Molecule: long non-coding RNA, 263 nt
Filed under: Phoenix dactylifera (date palm)
Lineage: Eukaryota; Viridiplantae; Streptophyta; Magnoliopsida; Arecales; Arecaceae
Description: long non-coding RNA (PDAC_LNC005951)
Source: RNAcentral
UUGUGAGGUAAUCUUGUACUAUGUAAUCUAUAAAUUUUUUUAUAAUGAAGCUUUUGCAUCAUCUAUGCUCGUAAACAUAGAUCAAUAAACCGAACCAUAUAAAUAUUGUGUUCUUCACUUGUGUUUUUCUCCUUUUUCUUGUUAUUUCAUUAUUCUCUCUGCUUGUGGCAACAAGUGGUAUUAGAGCCUUGGUCUUUUCAAUUGGAGUUUCGCAAUAACAGUUACAAAAUUUGAAAUUGAGAAGUUUAAUAGAGCAAAUUAUG